GACGAACGCUGGCGGCGCGCCUAACACAUGCAAGUCGAACGAGCGAGAGAGAGCUUGCUUUCUCGAGCGAGUGGCGAACGGGUGAGUAACGCGUGAGGAACCUGCCUCAAAGAGGGGGACAACAGUUGGAAACGACUGCUAAUACCGCAUAAGCCCACGGUGCCGCAUGGCACAGAGGGAAAAGGAGCAAUCCGCUUUGAGAUGGCCUCGCGUCCGAUUAGCUAGUUGGUGAGGUAACGGCCCACCAAGGCGACGAUCGGUAGCCGGACUGAGAGGUUGAACGGCCACAUUGGGACUGAGACACGGCCCAGACUCCUACGGGAGGCAGCAGUGGGGAAUAUUGCACAAUGGGGGAAACCCUGAUGCAGCGACGCCGCGUGGAGGAAGAAGGUCUUCGGAUUGUAAACUCCUGUUGUUGGGGAAGAUAAUGACGGUACCCAACAAGGAAGUGACGGCUAACUACGUGCCAGCAGCCGCGGUAAAACGUAGGUCACAAGCGUUGUCCGGAAUUACUGGGUGUAAAGGGAGCGCAGGCGGGAAGACAAGUUGGAAGUGAAAUCUAUGGGCUCAACCCAUAAACUGCUUUCAAAACUGUUUUUCUUGAGUAGUGCAGAGGUAGGCGGAAUUCCCGGUGUAGCGGUGGAAUGCGUAGAUAUCGGGAGGAACACCAGUGGCGAAGGCGGCCUACUGGGCACUAACUGACGCUGAGGCUCGAAAGUGUGGGUAGCAAACAGGAUUAGAUACCCUGGUAGUCCACACCGUAAACGAUGAUUACUAGGUGUUGGAGGAUUGACCCCUUCAGUGCCGCAGUUAACACAAUAAGUAAUCCACCUGGGGAGUACGACCGCAAGGUUGAAACUCAAAGGAAUUGACGGGGGCCCGCACAAGCAGUGGAGUAUGUGGUUUAAUUCGACGCAACGCGAAGAACCUUACCAAGCCUUGACAUCCCUUGACAGGCAUAGAAAUAUGUUUUCUCUUCGGAGCAAGGAGACAGGUGGUGCAUGGUUGUCGUCAGCUCGUGUCGUGAGAUGUUGGGUUAAGUCCCGCAACGAGCGCAACCCUUAUGGUCAGUUACUACGCAAGAGGACUCUGGCCAGACUGCCGUUGACAAAACGGAGGAAGGUGGGGAUGACGUCAAAUCAUCAUGCCCUUUAUGACUUGGGCUACACACGUACUACAAUGGCGUUAAACAAAGAGAAGCAAGACCGCGAGGUGGAGCAAAACUCAGAAACAACGUCCCAGUUCGGACUGCAGGCUGCAACUCGCCUGCACGAAGUUCGGAAUUGCUAGUAAUCGUGGAUCAGCAUGCCACGGUGAAUACGUUUCCCGGGCCCU
Molecule: ribosomal RNA, 1335 nt
Filed under: uncultured bacterium
Lineage: Bacteria
Description: bacterial SSU rRNA
Rfam family: Bacterial small subunit ribosomal RNA
Source: RNAcentral